AUUGAACGCUGGCGGCAUGCUUUACACUUGCAAGUCGAACGGUAACAGGCCGCAAGGUGCUGACGAGUGGCGAACGGGUGAGUAAUGCAUCGGAACGUGCCCAGUCGUGGGGGAUAACUACUCGAAAGAGUAGCUAAUACCGCAUACGAUCUAUGGAUGAAAGCGGGGGACCGUAAGGCCUCGCGCGAUUGGAGCGGCCGAUGUCAGAUUAGGUAGUUGGUGGGGUAAAGGCUCACCAAGCCAACGAUCUGUAGCUGGUCUGAGAGGACGACCAGCCACACUGGGACUGAGACACGGCCCAGACUCCUACGGGAGGCAGCAGUGGGGAAUUUUGGACAAUGGGCGCAAGCCUGAUCCAGCAAUGCCGCGUGCAGGAAGAAGGCCUUCGGGUUGUAAACUGCUUUUGUACGGAACGAAACGGCUCUGGUUAAUACCCGGGGCUAAUGACGGUACCGGAAGAAUAAGCACCGGCUAACUACGUG
RNAcentral lists this ribosomal RNA (482 nucleotides) under uncultured bacterium. RNAcentral's name for it is "partial 16S ribosomal RNA". It matches the Rfam family "Bacterial small subunit ribosomal RNA", at positions 30 to 507 of the family's 1533-position model. The record is from RNAcentral.